This is a small nuclear RNA of Labeo rohita (rohu), 116 nucleotides long. RefSeq annotates it as U5 spliceosomal RNA. NCBI's taxonomy places the organism in Eukaryota, Metazoa, Chordata, Actinopteri, Cypriniformes, Cyprinidae. The record is from RefSeq and is a predicted model, not a curated record. The transcript has a single exon.
ACACUCAUGUUUCGUCUCAAAGCGUAUAAUUUUUUCGUUUUUUACUAAAAAUUUCUGUGGGUUGGAUCAGAAUGAGUAAAAAUCAAUUUUUUGAUGAUUUGCUAAAAAGCAGAGCU